UGUUGAACAUACAUUUCUACCAUGUCCCCAGUCCCCUCUGCAUACUUAGACAGGUUCAUUGCUUCCCUGUCAUCACUCAACAAUCUCAGAUUAUUCAUCAUGAUUUCCCUGGACCCCUUCCACCAUAGCUUAAAGUCUCCAUCGUACUUAAAUUCUUUAACGAUAUCCACUGCUUCAAAAUAAGACCAUCGAUCUGGAUCAAGCCCUACUACCACGUGAACCUCUCCGCCAACAUAUUGUAGCCCCCUAUCAAACCUUCCCAUGUGAUGCAAACGAACCUCGAACACCAUUUUUACACCUACAU
RNAcentral lists this long non-coding RNA (304 nucleotides) under Vigna radiata. RNAcentral describes it as "long non-coding RNA (VRAD_LNC005737)". Lineage: Eukaryota; Viridiplantae; Streptophyta; Magnoliopsida; Fabales; Fabaceae. The record is from RNAcentral.